Molecule: ribosomal RNA, 1108 nt
Filed under: Salmonella enterica
Lineage: Bacteria; Pseudomonadati; Pseudomonadota; Gammaproteobacteria; Enterobacterales; Enterobacteriaceae
Description: partial 23S ribosomal RNA
Rfam family: Bacterial large subunit ribosomal RNA
Source: RNAcentral
AGACCCGAAACCCGGUGAUCUAGCCAUGGGCAGGUUGAAGGUUGGGUAACACUAACUGGAGGACCGAACCGACUAAUGUUGAAAAAUUAGCGGAUGACCUGUGGCUGGGGGUGAAAGGCCAAUCAAACCGGGAGAUAGCUGGUUCUCCCCGAAAGCUAUUUAGGUAGCGCCUCGUGAAUUCAUCUCCGGGGGUAGAGCACUGUUUCGGCUAGGGGGCCAUCCCGGCUUACCAACCCGAUGCAAACUGCGAAUACCGGAGAAUGUUAUCACGGGAGACACACGGCGGGUGCUAACGUCCGUCGUGAAGAGGGAAACAACCCAGACCGCCAGCUAAGGUCCCAAAGUCAUGGUUAAGUGGGAAACGAUGUGGGAAGGCCCAGACAGCCAGGAUGUUGGCUUAGAAGCAGCCAUCAUUUAAAGAAAGCGUAAUAGCUCACUGGUCGAGUCGGCCUGCGCGGAAGAUGUAACGGGGCUAAACCAUGCACCGAAGCUGCGGCAGCGACGCUGAUGCGUUGUUGGGUAGGGGAGCGUUCUGUAAGCCUGCGAAGGUGGCCUGUGAGGGUUGCUGGAGGUAUCAGAAGUGCGAAUGCUGACAUAAGUAACGAUAAAGCGGGUGAAAAGCCCGCUCGCCGGAAGACCAAGGGUUCCUGUCCAACGUUAAUCGGGGCAGGGUGAGUCGACCCCUAAGGCGAGGCCGAAAGGCGUAGUCGAUGGGAAACGGGUUAAUAUUCCCGUACUUGGUGUUACUGCGAAGGGGGGACGGAGAAGGCUAUGUUGGCCGGGCGACGGUUGUCCCGGUUUAAGCGUGUAGGUGUGUGUUCCAGGUAAAUCCGGUUCACUUUAACACUGAGGCGUGAUGACGAGGCACUACGGUGCUGAAGCAACAAAUGCCCUGCUUCCAGGAAAAGCCUCUAAGCAUCAGGUAACAUCAAAUCGUACCCCAAACCGACACAGGUGGUCAGGUAGAGAAUACCAAGGCGCUUGAGAGAACUCGGGUGAAGGAACUAGGCAAAAUGGUGCCGUAACUUCGGGAGAAGGCACGCUGACACGUAGGUGAAGUGAUUUACUCAUGGAGCUGAAGUCAGUCGAAGAUACCAGCUGGCUGCAA